GAUUCUGUGUGCUCAGUUAGCUGAGAACAUGCUGUGGCACAGCAAAGGUUGCCAUUCAGUGGCAGGUGGCUGGCUUUCAUGCAACAGAUAUUCUGCCUUUACAAAAUAUACAUCUACCAGACAAGAAGGUGACGUGGCUGACACACGGCUCAUCUAUUCUUAGAUUUGGCAUUUGGGAACACAGUUUCACCACUUCUAUCUGGCUGGCAGCAGUGUUCUAUGAAGGUGUAAAAGUUGCAUGCAGCAGAAAUGGGAAACUUGCAGUAACUGGCUCAGGACAGCAAAGUUGACGUGGUGCCAGGAUCACUCACAUUCCACAGCUGUCAAGGACUCUCUUGGCAAGGCCCCUCCACCAGCAUCAUCCCAGCUCCCCACCACCUGGUGCUCAUCCCCACCUGCAGCUGGAGCCAUGGGUUCCAAAUUCUGGGAGCAGGGGAAGGCAGCAGAGUGGGUGUGAAGGCUGCUCCUAGGUGCUGGCAACCUGCAUGUAGGCAGUGGGUACGCCAUGGUAAGCAACCCAGCAGGGCCAGAUGGUGUGGGAGCAGGAUUUUACGGGCUCAUAGCUCCAACCCUCAGGCUCAGUGGGUUUGUCAGAAAUGGUUAAUCAAAUUCUGAAUAACCCUCCCAGAAAAUCAACCAGCUUUUCCCCCAUGGGACUGCUGGAGCCCAUAUGAAAAAUGAAAAAGGUUUGGAAACUAGGUUUACAUUUUUACUGCUGGAAUUUGUACCAACUUGGUGUUUUCUUUCUUUGAGAACAUGAUGUGAGACCUUUGUGCUGUGAUGGCAAAGGGCACGGAGGAAGGGAGCACAAGAAGAUACUGGUUAAUUUGCUGCCUGUCUGCUCUGACUUCAAUACUGCAGUCGGACUGGACAUGGUGUUGUGAAGGACACAGCCCUG
RNAcentral lists this long non-coding RNA (898 nucleotides) under Coturnix japonica (Japanese quail). RNAcentral describes it as "lncRNA (ENSCJPG00005018036.1)". Lineage: Eukaryota; Metazoa; Chordata; Aves; Galliformes; Phasianidae. The record is from RNAcentral.